GAUGAACGCUGGCGGCGGGCCUAACACAUGCAAGUCGAGCGAACAGAGGGGGCUUGUGCCUGGCUGACGCGACGGACGGGUGGGUAAUGAAUAGGAGUAUGACUGGCAGAGGGGGCUGACGUAAGGUCACGGGCGCUAAUACAGCAUCCGUCAAGAGGGUGAACGGGGGGGAUCUUUGGAGAAAGAGGGAUUUGCUGACACUACGACGGAUUAGCUAGUUGGUGGGGUAAGGGCCUACCAAGGCGACGAUCCGUAACAGGUCUGAGAGGAUGAUCGGCCACACUGGAACUGAGACACGGUCCAGACUCCUACGGGAGGCAGCAGUGGGGAAUCUUGCGCAAUGGGCGAAAGCCUGACCGAGCCACGCCGCGUGAGUGAAGAAGGUCUUCGGAUUGUAAAGCUCUGUUAUUUGGGAAGAACGGAAGUGUGAGUAACUCUUCACGUCUUGACGGUACCUACAGAGUAAGCACCGGCUAACUACGUG
Molecule: ribosomal RNA, 484 nt
Filed under: uncultured bacterium
Lineage: Bacteria
Description: partial 16S ribosomal RNA
Rfam family: Bacterial small subunit ribosomal RNA
Source: RNAcentral